Molecule: long non-coding RNA, 275 nt
Filed under: Lathyrus oleraceus (garden pea)
Lineage: Eukaryota; Viridiplantae; Streptophyta; Magnoliopsida; Fabales; Fabaceae
Description: Pisum sativum (pea) long non-coding RNA (PSAT_LNC033419)
Source: RNAcentral
ACUAACAUCUUUUGUUUGAACCUUGAGUAUCAUCCAAGACACUUUGUGGGUUCUAUUUAGAUGAUCAGUCAACACAAGGGAAUGGCUUGAGAUACUUCCAACAUGUUCAAAUGGGGUCUAUUCGUCAGUCAAAACGUUAAUCGUGAAGGAGCAAAAGUUUGUUCAUGAACUGUCAUGCUCGCUAGGCGAAGCCCACGUGUUAAAAAAAACGAAAAAAAGAACGAAAAACGAAAAAAAAAUAAAAUAAUAAUAAUAAUAACAAUAAUAAUAAUAAU